GGAGAGGUGUCCGAGCGGCCGAAGGUGACAGACUCGAAAUCUGUUGUGGGGCAACCCACCGUGGGUUCAAAUCCCACCCUCUCCGCCA
This 88-nucleotide transfer RNA is filed under the name Desulfuromonas sp. RNAcentral's name for it is "tRNA-Ser". It matches the Rfam family "tRNA". Rfam says of the family: Transfer RNA (tRNA) molecules are approximately 80 nucleotides in length. Their secondary structure includes four short double-helical elements and three loops (D, anti-codon, and T loops). Further hydrogen bonds mediate the characteristic L-shaped molecular structure. tRNAs have two regions of fundamental functional importance: the anti-codon, which is responsible for specific mRNA codon recognition, and the 3' end, to which the tRNAs corresponding amino acid is attached (by aminoacyl-tRNA synthetases). tRNAs cope with the degeneracy of the genetic code in two manners: having more than one tRNA (with a specific anti-codon) for a particular amino acid; and 'wobble' base-pairing, i.e. permitting non-standard base-pairing at the 3rd anti-codon position. The record is from RNAcentral. Lineage: Bacteria; Pseudomonadati; Thermodesulfobacteriota; Desulfuromonadia; Desulfuromonadales; Desulfuromonadaceae.